GUUUCUCAUCGCUUCUAGCCCCCCUCUCUCUCUUAUACGCCUAUUUCUCCCCAUCCGACCUCUCCCAAACGAACCCUAAACAUCCGUUAUUUUUGCCACCAGCUCUCGUCCCCUUCCCUAUAAAAGACUCCCUUUUUGAAAUCCUUGCCUUCUCUUCUUUAAAAAUCGCUUCUUUUCCUCCAUUCCUGCUCAGAUCGAUCGCUCUUCUGCUCUCCUUCGUCCUCGGAACGCCAGAUUUCCUCAAAAACGGGUCGGAUUUGGUUUGGAGCUGGGCGAGAUCGCUGGAUCUGUCUCCUCCUCCUUCUCUGCGUUAGAUCUCGGAUUGCGAUCGUCUGGAAAUCUACUGAGAGGUGAAUAAAGGCGUGGUUUCGUGAUCGUUCCUUCUCCGUGUACGAUUCGAAGCAAAUCCCUGUCUGACGAGUGCGAUCAGCUCGGACAGAGUUGAUUCCUAAUUGUUUUCUCUUUGAAAAAGCACUUUUGUGGAUCUCUUAUUUGAACGAAAGGAAAAAAGCAAGGUGUAAAUUUGGGGAAUAUAAAAUUCUGUUUAUUAGGUUUCAGAGGAAUUAGAAAGAUAACAAAUAAAAUUAUAAAUCUGAGGAUUUGUUCUCAUCGAUCGCUUGAGGGAAAGGAGUCAUCUUUGAUCGCUCGAGGGAAAGGAGUCAUCUUGGAAAAGAGAGCACAUGGCCGACCACGGUUUGGAGGGGAGCCAGCCAGUUGACCUUUCUAAGCAUCCGUCUGGCAUUGUUCCCACGCUCCAGAAUAUUGUGUCAACUGUUAAUUUGGACUGCAAGUUGGAUCUUAAAGCUAUUGCUUUGCAAGCUCGUAAUGCUGAGUACAAUCCCAAGCGUUUUGCUGCAGUUAUCAUGAGAAUAAGAGAGCCAAAAACCACAGCAUUGAUAUUUGCAUCAGGAAAAAUGGUUUGCACAGGAGCAAAAAGUGAACAACAAUCAAAACUUGCAGCACGGAAGUAUGCCCGCAUUAUCCAGAAGCUUGGGUUUCCAGCUAAGUUCAAGGAUUUCAAGAUUCAGAACAUUGUUGGUUCUUGUGAUGUCAAAUUCCCCAUAAGACUUGAGGGCCUUGCUUAUUCCCAUGGUGCUUUCUCUAGUUAUGAGCCAGAACUCUUUCCGGGCCUCAUAUAUCGGAUGAAGCAACCAAAGAUUGUACUUCUCAUUUUCGUUUCUGGCAAGAUUGUUCUUACUGGAGCUAAGGUGAGAGAUGAGACAUACACUGCAUUUGAGAAUAUAUAUCCUGUCCUCACAGAAUUCAGGAAAAGCCAGCAAUGAUGAUUCCGCUUCACCAGGUUCCGUUUGACUGCAAACCAAGAGGAGAAGUCUUCCCUUUGCUGAACUCUCAAAUGAGAGCUAUCCAAGCUGACAGAGACUCUCAUAUAAUGUCCAGCGACUGUUGCAGGGUAAGGAUGGCCUGGGCCAGAUUGCUGCUAGUGCUAUCAAUCCUCUUGAGUGUAUAUAGAUGAAGAAUUCCCGUAACAAGUUGUCCUUUGAUCUGAUGGUUGUAUAUCGUUUCUGAGCUGUCAGGAAUGCAGGCUGUUGUUAAGGGAUUCCCAUGAGUUAUGUUAUCAGGGCUAGAAGUGGAGGCAGUUUGAUGUGAUUUUAUUGUUCCUGGAGACACUGCCAAAAGAAAAGAAAUAAAUGUUAACCUGUUUUAUUGUCCAACUAACUCAUGCCAUGUUGGGAUUUCUUGAUGGUUGGGAGCAGUGUUUAUGAUGUUGCAACAAUGCGCAGCUGUAUUGCUUUAAUUUCGUACGGCAAAGAAAUUAUCUUGGGAA
Molecule: RNA transcript, 1786 nt
Organism: Elaeis guineensis (African oil palm)
Lineage: Eukaryota; Viridiplantae; Streptophyta; Magnoliopsida; Arecales; Arecaceae
Gene name: TATA-box-binding protein
Source: RefSeq, a predicted model, not a curated record